RNAcentral lists this transfer RNA (74 nucleotides) under Streptococcus iniae. Its description in RNAcentral is "tRNA-OTHER". The record is from RNAcentral. Lineage: Bacteria; Bacillati; Bacillota; Bacilli; Lactobacillales; Streptococcaceae.
UGGUGAAAUAGCUAGGUAAGCUUUUCCAUCUUUAAAAUGGAAGCGACGAAUAGUUGGGUCUCCGUCUUUAACAU